This 219-nucleotide ribosomal RNA is filed under the name uncultured bacterium. RNAcentral describes it as "partial 16S ribosomal RNA". It matches the Rfam family "Bacterial small subunit ribosomal RNA", at positions 129 to 334 of the family's 1533-position model. The record is from RNAcentral.
CCUAGAAGUGGGGAAUAACUCAGGGAAACUUGAGCUAAUACCGCAUACGCCCACUCCGCGAGAGCGGUGUGCGCAAAGAUGGCCUCUUCAUGAAAGCUGUCGCUUCUAGAGGGAUCCGCGGCUGAUUAGCUAGUUGGUGAGGUAACGGCUCACCAAGGCGACGAUCAGUAGCCGGCCUGAGAGGGUGAUCGGCCACACUGGAACUGAGACACGGUCCAG